This 1522-nucleotide ribosomal RNA is filed under the name metagenome. RNAcentral describes it as "bacterial SSU rRNA". It matches the Rfam family "Bacterial small subunit ribosomal RNA". The record is from RNAcentral.
AGAGUUUGAUCAUGGCUCAGAUUGAACGCUGGCGGCAGGCCUAACACAUGCAAGUCGAACGGUAACAGGAAACAGCUUGCUGUUUCGCUGACGAGUGGCGGACGGGUGAGUAAUGUCUGGGAAACUGCCUGAUGGAGGGGGAUAACUACUGGAAACGGUAGCUAAUACCGCAUAACGUCGCAAGACCAAAGAGGGGGACCUUCGGGCCUCUUGCCAUCAGAUGUGCCCAGAUGGGAUUAGCUAGUAGGUGGGGUAACGGCUCACCUAGGCGACGAUCCCUAGCUGGUCUGAGAGGAUGACCAGCCACACUGGAACUGAGACACGGUCCAGACUCCUACGGGAGGCAGCAGUGGGGAAUAUUGCACAAUGGGCGCAAGCCUGAUGCAGCCAUGCCGCGUGUAUGAAGAAGGCCUUCGGGUUGUAAAGUACUUUCAGCGGGGAGGAAGGGAGUAAAGUUAAUACCUUUGCUCAUUGACGUUACCCGCAGAAGAAGCACCGGCUAACUCCGUGCCAGCAGCCGCGGUAAUACGGAGGGUGCAAGCGUUAAUCGGAAUUACUGGGCGUAAAGCGCACGCAGGCGGUUUGUUAUGUCAGAUGUGAAAUCCCCGGGCUCAACCUGGGAACUGCAUCUGAUACUGGCAAGCUUGAGUCUCGUAGAGGGGGGUAGAAUUCCAGGUGUAGCGGUGAAAUGCGUAGAGAUCUGGAGGAAUACCGGUGGCGAAGGCGGCCCCCUGGACGAAGACUGACGCUCAGGUGCGAAAGCGUGGGGAGCAAACAGGAUUAGACACCCUGGUAGUCCACGCCGUAAACGAUGUCGACUUGGAGGUUGUGCCCUUGAGGCGUGGCUUCCGGAGCUAACGCGUUAAGUCGACUGCCUGGGGAGUACGGCCGCAAGGUUAAAACUCAAAUGAAUUGACGGGGGCCCGCACAAGCGGUGGAGCAUGUGGUUUAAUUCGAUGCAACGCGAAGAACCUUACCUGGUCUUGACAUCCACGGAAGUUUUCAGAGAUGAGAAUGUGCCUUCGGGAACCGUGAGACAGGUGCUGCAUGGCUGUCGUCAGCUCGUGUUGUGAAAUGUUGGGUUAAGUCCCGCAGCGAGCGCAACCCUUAUCCUUUGUUGCCAGCGGUCCGGCCGGGAACUCAAAGGAGACUGCCAGUGAUAAACUGGAGGAAGGUGGGGAUGACGUCAAGUCAUCAUGGCCCUUACGACCAGGGCUACACACGUGCUACAAUGGCGCAUACAAAGAGAAGCGACCUCGCGAGAGCAAGCGGACCUCAUAAAGUGCGUCGUAGUCCGGAUUGGAGUCUGCAACUCGACUCCAUGAAGUCGGAAUCGCUAGUAAUCGUGGAUCAGAAUGCCACGGUGAAUACGUUCCCGGGCCUUGUACACACCGCCCGUCACACCAUGGGAGUGGGUUGCAAAAGAAGUAGGUAGCUUAACCUUCGGGAGGGCGCUUACCACUUUGUGAUUCAUGACUGGGGUGAAGUCGUAACAAGGUAACCGUAGGGGAACCUGCGGUUG